Long non-coding RNA from Setaria italica (foxtail millet), 1257 nucleotides. RefSeq lists it as uncharacterized. The transcript is spliced from 2 exons. NCBI's taxonomy places the organism in Eukaryota, Viridiplantae, Streptophyta, Magnoliopsida, Poales, Poaceae. The record is from RefSeq and is a predicted model, not a curated record.
CGGCGGCGGAGCUCCGGUGAGCCCUUCCCCCAUCCGAGGCGGCCACGGGAUUAGACUAGGAAAUGCGCUCCGCCUAGGAUCCCCUUCGUCUCCAUGUUCCGGCAGGAGGGCACCAGCUUCAACAAGGGGACCCUAAGGCCGCAGUUCUCCUGGAUCAAAGUGAUCGGCAGCGGAGCAAUCCCAUUUUUUUUUUCGCGGAGGACGACGCGCGGAGACGCUGAUGGGGACGUCGAGCGGCGAACCUGGACGUGGAUGCGCCGCGCCGUUGCCUUCCAUUGUUUCAGGUCUUCCCGCUAACUUCAGGAACUGUUGGCCCUUUGCCUGAUUGGAUUUGGACUGCAUUGACGUCUCCUGCUAGGAGGCAACGACCUGCAAUUCGUUUUCUUGUCAAACAAUCGUCUGGAACUGGAAGCAUGCCUAUGUACUUCUGCGACAUGGAAUGGUUGUAGACAAUAGACCUGUCAAACAACAGCUUAUCAGGUGAACUUCCUAAUCAGUGGAAGCAGAGCAAAAGACUAUUUGAGCUGGACUUCUCGAGUAACAACCUUGAGGGAGAAAUACCAUCGAGCAUGGGCGCUCUUACUUCACUUUUUUCUUUGCAUUUAAGCAGGAACACGCUAUCCGGAGUCUUGCCUGCCUCUCUAAGCUCAUGCAACCGUUUGAAUUUACUUGAUCUUGGAGAGAACGACUUUGAUGGAGUGAUAGUUCCAUACCUUCAUGGAUUGGAGAUACUCUGCAAUUCCUCAUGCUUCUUAGGCUGCGGUCAAAUCAGUUCUCCGGAAGUAGUCCUGCUGGAUUGUCACAACUGGUAGGCCUUCCAAGUGUUGGAUCUUGCUACCAACAAGCUUUCAGGGCCUGUACCACAAGUAUUGGAAACUUCACCUUUAUGGCUUCACAAGAAUCAAGACCUAUGUCGCCGACGAUGGCUUUUAAUCGUGGUUACCAGCGGCACUUUGUAAACUGAUAUUAUCAUUUAAACUGAAACUCUGGAAGCCAUCAGUAUUCAGUGCUCGCAUUGUGAGCCUUUUCUGAUUAACAAGGAAAAGUGCUUGCUAUGCUGUAGAUAUUCAUUUUUUUUUUCAUUAUGUAGUCUGCAAAUUCGGAUCACACCCCUUGGAAGCUUGUGAGCUGUGAUCGACUGAUCACACUGGCUGGCUCUUUGCACGAUCUUUCUAUUAUGUAGUCUGCAAAUUCGGAUUUGGUGCUGGCAUGAUCCUUAUUCGCACUGAUAAAAGUUUAGCUUCAGAUUUUACUGAA